GAUUCUUCUGAGGUUUAAUUUGCCAGAACACAUUCACAUACAACAAUAACAAAGGUAACUUUGUUCCAAUAUUUCUUCCUUUUUAUGAGCAUUUAUUUAUUUAAAUUAUGUCUUAUACUAUUUUUAUUUAUAAAAUAUCACAAUCUUGUAUAUUUGUGUGUGUAUUUCUUUUUUAUGUAUUUUUGGGAUUUAGAAAGAAGAAAAGAAGAGAAAAAAGACUCAUGGUGAAAAAGAAAAAGAAGUCAAAAACCAAGGUGCUCAACCAGGAAGCUAAGCGUGGACCAAGCCACGCUAAGCUGACCUGGACACAAGCCUGACCUGGACACUAGCUUGACCUGGACACCAGCCUAACCUGGAUCAAGCUGCUCAAGCAAGCAGCUGAGCGGACCUGCUUGGCCGCUCAACCUAGCACUAGACUAGUCCUGGAAUGGUCAGAACUCCGCUUGACACGGUCAGACACAAGCUUCGCACAUGCCCAAGCUGCUGAACAAGUAGCUUAGCGGUCCAACCAAGCAGCUUAGCGGAGAACCAGACUCCUGACCAGAUCAACAAGCACAAGGAAAAUUUCAUAGCUGACAACUAGCUUUGAUGAGUCAAGCAUAAGGAGGUGACAAAGUUACUUGACCAAGGGACCAAACCCAUGCUGAAGAGUUCGGUCAACUGCUUAGCGGGGCUGACAAACAGCUCAGCGACCCAGAAGAAUUUCUAUAAAUAUGGCACAUUCCAUUCGAGCAAAAGGGCAUCAAAUUCAUACCUCUCUCACAUUUUCACUCACAUUUUCACUCACAUUUUGCCUAGAAAUUCUUCUCUGAAGUUCUUUCUUCUUGUUCUUAGCUUAGGAACUUUAUUUAAGUUUUGUAAUUUUAGUUUAUAAUUCAAGAGGAGAAAAAGGAGAAGGCAAAUGAGAUACACAAAUCAAUUUUAUAAUCUCAUUUGGAACUCAAAGCAUCUAAUCCUUGGAUGGAUGGCUCAUGCUCCUAACAAUUUCUUUUGAAUAUGGUUAUGAAUUUCUACUUCUUCUUAUAUUCUAAAAGAUUUGAAUUUUAAUCAUUCAAGUUG
Molecule: long non-coding RNA, 1059 nt
Filed under: Lupinus angustifolius (narrow-leaved blue lupine)
Lineage: Eukaryota; Viridiplantae; Streptophyta; Magnoliopsida; Fabales; Fabaceae
Description: long non-coding RNA (LANG_LNC003125)
Source: RNAcentral